This is a long non-coding RNA of Vigna unguiculata (cowpea), 136 nucleotides long. Lineage: Eukaryota; Viridiplantae; Streptophyta; Magnoliopsida; Fabales; Fabaceae. The record is from RefSeq and is a predicted model, not a curated record.
UUCAAACUGAUUCAAGAGUCUUUUUCGCUGUACAACUUAACUGGCUUCAAAUCAAGAUUUCAAAGUCAUGCACGAGUCUUUUUCGCUUUACAACUUAACUGAAAUGGUUGGCAGAUUCAUUUCUAUGUUUUUGAAA